Bombus impatiens (common eastern bumble bee) is the source of this 604-nucleotide long non-coding RNA. RefSeq lists it as uncharacterized. The record is from RefSeq and is a predicted model, not a curated record. Lineage: Eukaryota; Metazoa; Arthropoda; Insecta; Hymenoptera; Apidae. The transcript has 2 exons.
CACGCUUUCUGAAUAAGAAGCGAAACCUAAUCUCGAAAGUCGGCGAGCCGAAGGAAGCGCCACGUGUCGGCUAGAAAGGUCUGUAAUCGAUCACCAAUCGAAGGGCCGAACAAACUUCCAUGUUGGAAGACACGGCCGCCGAUCGCGAAAAGAAGGAAGAACGGCCGUCUUGAAGACAGAACGUGUCUGACCGUCUUGGCACAAGUGUGGAUCGGAUAUUGCGUUAUUUUGCGGAGUGAUUAUUCCCGGACAGGAUGCGAACGCGGAACCACGUGUGUGAUGGAGUAAAUUUGUCUUUCUUGGCUUCUUCUUGGGGCUUUGCUGGGUGUGAGUAAGUAAAUUAUGUAAAUUGUAUUUGUAAUUUCCUGUGAAUCUGAUAGGUUAAUUAAACAUGCCAUUUCGCGGAACUCUUUCUAAUUUUCGAUUAAAUUCAAUAGUUUGCAUUUCUCUUUGAUUCCCUGGUGGUUUACGAACUUUAUAUUACGACAUUUACUUUCUUCUUUUUUAGUUUUUUUUUUUGUUAUGUUUGUUAUUCAAACUGAGCUCAAAAGUCAAUUUUCUUACACUCUCACUCAAAUUUGGUCUGGUUGGCUAGUCGGAUCAA